UGUUCUGCAGGGUGAGGCUGCUUUUGUGACACUUGAAACAGGACACCCAAGCAAUGCAAAGCUCCUGAAUGCUGUGUUUCAUAUGCUGCUCCCACUGUGCACAGCAGGCAGAAGAGAAGAACAGAAGCCUCAGACACUUGCGUGACACUAUUCCCAACUCCAGUAAAAAUGCUGGCAAUGUCACUGCCAAGUGCCUCUUCGCUACUCUUGAUAUCCUUUUACUG
Molecule: long non-coding RNA, 224 nt
Organism: Gavialis gangeticus (Gharial)
Lineage: Eukaryota; Metazoa; Chordata; Crocodylia; Gavialidae
Exons: 2
Source: RefSeq, a predicted model, not a curated record